RNAcentral lists this ribosomal RNA (492 nucleotides) under uncultured bacterium. Its description in RNAcentral is "partial 16S ribosomal RNA". It matches the Rfam family "Bacterial small subunit ribosomal RNA", at positions 29 to 507 of the family's 1533-position model. The record is from RNAcentral.
AGUGAACGCUGGCGGUAGGCCUAACACAUGCAAGUCGAACGGCAGCACAGUAAGAGCUUGCUCUUACGGGUGGCGAGUGGCGGACGGGUGAGGAAUACAUCGGAAUCUACUUUUUCGUGGGGGAUAACGUAGGGAAACUUACGCUAAUACCGCAUACGACCUACGGGUGAAAGCAUGGGAUCUUCGGACCUUGCGCGAUUGAAUGAGCCGAUGUCGGAUUAGCUAGUUGGCGGGGUAAAGGCCAACCAAGGCGACGCUCCGUAGCUGGUCUGAGAGGCUGAUCAGCCACACUGGAACUGAAACACGGUCCAGACUCCUACGGGAGGCAGCAGUGGGGAAUAUUGGACAAUGGGCGCAAGCCUGAUCCAGCCAUACCGCGUGGGUGAAGAAGGCCUUCGGGUUGUAAAGCCCUUUUGUUGGGAAAGAAAAGCAGCAGGUUAAUACCCCGCUGUUCUGACGGUACCCAAAGAAUAAGCACCGGCUAACUUCGUG